This is a long non-coding RNA of Symphalangus syndactylus (siamang), 4992 nucleotides long. RefSeq lists it as uncharacterized. NCBI's taxonomy places the organism in Eukaryota, Metazoa, Chordata, Mammalia, Primates, Hylobatidae. The record is from RefSeq and is a predicted model, not a curated record.
UCCAUGGGAGAAGCAUGAUUUCCCAGCAGGGUCCACAAUCGCUCACCACGUCCUUGGCUGGUGGUAGAGGUUCCUUUGGCUCCGUGCCACUGCUGAGUGGGCCAUUGACCCUCCCACCACUUCUUUUCAUUCUCCGUGGGUCGAGUUGUUUGCCUAGUUAGUCCCAAUGUGAGAACCUGGAUAUUUCAGUUGAAGGUGCUGAAUUCACUCACCCGUUUUCAUUCUUCUCUGUAAGUGCCUCAGACCACAGCUGUUUCUAAUCAGCCAUCUUGGAUUCACCUGAAGGUUAUUUUAAAGUCAUCUAGUUUCAUGGCUUUAAGAAACACCUGUAUUCUGGCCACUCCCAAAUUCAUAUUUCAGCUCAGAUCUUUCCCUGGGCCUCCAGAUAAGACAGAGCCGCGUGUCCAACAUCUCCCACCCAUAACAUCGAAACUCAAGCGUCUGUUCUGCUCACACAGAUCAGACCCACCCUGUUGUCCCCUGUUUGGGGACUGGAAACCCCUACUUUGCUCUGGCCAGAAACCUCAGGGACAUCCUCUACGCCCCCCACUCACAGCCAGGCAGCAAAUUCUGUGGCCUCCAACCUCGACGUGCAUCGGAUCCUGACGGACCCCUGCAUUUCUGACCUGGGUGCUGAAGGAGCCACCCCUGGUCUUCAGUCUAUUCCAAAGGAGCAGCCACAAUUAGCCUUCAAAAUUUUAAGUCAAGUACAUCAUCCUGUGCUCAAAAUGGCUUUGGGCUCAUUCGGAGUAAAAGCUGAACUCACUAAAGGAGACUGGGUCACUGUGUGAGCUUGUCUCUGUCCACCCCCAGCCCUGCGUCAGCCUCCGCCUCUGACAGCCACAGGGCUGCCCCUCCCCCUCUUCAUGUCUUUACCCAGACAUCGCGCAGGGAGGCCUUCUCUGACUCAAAGUGCACCCCCGGGGCUCCCAGUCUCUUUUCUCAGCUCUAUUUUUCCCAUAAAGGAAUCACCUUCGUGUUGUAGAAGUCACUUGUUUGCGAUGUUUAUAUUUCCCAUAAGCUCUGGAAGACAGUUUUGUCUCUUUUGUUCACUGAUGUUCCCAGGAGGAAGAACAGUGGCUAGCACAAGGUAGGUGCUCCAUGAGUAUUUGUGGAAUGAACUAGCUAAACAGUUUAAGUAAUUAAAAUCCAUGGAUGGAACCUUAAGCUCUUUGCUAGGAUGGGCUACAGUGAAACGCCCUUCAUUACCCAAAUCCUCCACACACCUGCUACUCACCAGGGUCGCUGACGGGAGUGAGGGGCAGGGCCUGGUGUCCAGGCCUGGGGUGCUGGAUUUUGUUCUGCUCACACAGAUCAGACCCACCCUGUUUCCCUGUUUGGGGACUGGAAACCCCAACCUUGCUCUGGCCAGAAACCUCAGGGACAUCUUCUGUGUACUGGGAGACUGCUAGGACGUCUUGAUCAGGAAAAUGACGGGACCAGAUCGGUCGUUUCAGAAAAAUCUCACUGGCCACAGCAUGGAAGAAGGAUGGGGUGGACUAAGCUGAGGCUUGGACCACUCUCGCCGCUUGGUCCCCGCACACGCCUCUGCCUUGUUUCUGCUCAGACCUGGGCACUGGCAGCCGCCCUGCUGGGCAGAUCAAGGCAGCGAAAGCAUUUGUUCAAAAUGCUGACAGGAGAUGGCUUGCCCCAGCCACCUUGGUUGUGAAAGAGGAAUUUCAAAAGCAGUUGCUGAGGAUCCCACUAGGCUUCAAGAACACGUGGCCUCUCUCAAAUUCAAGGCACCAAAGGUGGGGGCGGACUGAAGGGACGUGAGGGAGCCCCACGGGACAGACGGGGGCAAGCGGCCCAGCCAGGCCACAGGGGCUGCCUCAGCCCAGUCACCUCCCUCCUCGGGCGUUUGUUCUGCCCCUUUCUACCCAAAGCCGGCCACCCACCUGCCCUAUAACAACCCACCCAUGUCUCUGUCGAGGGCAGCAGGCACCCCAGGCUGCUAAGACAUGCACUCUGAGCGCCCUCCCAGCCCAGGGACUGUCCCCAAGGUCCAGCUGCCCUGGGGCCCUAAGCAGCCACUCCCACUUCUUGUCAUCACAGCCGAUUAAGGACCUGCAGAUGAGGGCAUCCUAUCCCACCCCAGCGCUGGGGGCUAUGUUCAGGCCAGGAGAAGCCACCAAACACUGCCACCAUCUUCCUGGCUCCAGAGGCUCUGUGCCAACACCAGGCCCCCUUGGGCCCACCUAGCCCACAGACCUUGGAGGCAGGUGCAUGAGCAGGUGCAUCCAUCCCAUGGACUCUGAUGGGCUGUCAGGAAGGACGCAGGUAGGAGCCCAGGUCUUGCCCAGCAGGUGCAGUUCCAAGGCUGCCUCUGGGUGGCGUGCUUGGACCAGUCAGGUGCCCUGUGUUCACCUAACACCGCAGAACCCGUUUCCGGCUGCCAGGGCGAUGCAAGCCAGUGGAAGCACAAACGCAGUCAUUGCUCAGCCCUGCCCAGGCCUUGAGGGUGGAGGGUCAGGGGCCUCUGCACAAAGGCUUUGAUCCCCCAAAUACACACAGACCCCCACUUUCCUUGUUAGUUUUCUAACACUUGCAUUGCAAGCUACCACAGAGUAGGUGGCUUCAGCAGUGGAAAUGUGUCCUCUGACCAUUCUGAAGGCUGAGCGUCUGGGAUGAAGACGUUGGCGGAUGUGGUCUCCACAGAAGCCUCUCCUUGGUCUGCAGACAGCUGCUCUCUCACUGCCUCUUCACGUGGUCUUCCCUCCACGCGGGCUCACCCAGGGGACUCUGUGACCGGGUCUCCUCGUCUUACAGGAAUGCCAGUCAUGUUGAAUUAGAGCCCCACCUUCAUACCUCAUUUCUACUUAAUCACCUCUUUAUUUUUAAAAUUUAUUUAUUUUAUUUAUGUCUUUUUUGACACUGAGUCUCACUCUAUUGCUCAGGCUGGAGCGCAGUGGCACAAUCUCGGCUCACUGCAACCUCCACCUUCUGGGUUCAAGCGAUUCUCUUGCCUCAGCCUCCCGAGUAGCUGGGAUUACAGGUACAUGCUACCACACCCAACUAAUUUUUUGUAUUUUAGUAGAGACAGGGUUUCGCCAUGUUGGCCAGGCUGGUCUUGAACUCCUGACCUCAGGUGAUCCACCCGCCUCGGCCUCCCAAAGUGCUGGGAUUACAGGCGUGAGGCACCGUACCCAGCCUAAAUUACCUCUUUAAAGAUCUUACCUUCAAAUAUGAUCACAUCAUGAGGUACCGGGGGCUGGGACUUCAACAUGAAUUUUGUGGGACACAAUUUCAAUCCAUAACACUGACGUAAGGUUCUUGCACUGUAUGUGAAGUGGUAUAAUAUGUAAAUGUGACAAUUCAUAGAGAAAGAAAUGUCUUUUCAACCAGUGAUGCUGGAACUAUUGAAUAUGCAUGUGCAAAAAGAAAAGCCUCAAUCUAUACCCGGACCACAUAUAAAAAUAACUCAAAAUGCACUGUAGACGUAAAUGUCACACCUAAGACUACACAGUUUCUAGAAGUAAACAUACGCGAACACUUCUGUGAUCUUGAGUGGACAAAUAUUUUUUAGCCGUGAUAUCAAAAGCAUCAUCUAUAAAAACUAUAAACCAGCACAACUUUUCUUCAGGGUUAAGCAUUGCCUCUUUUUUUCCAAAAGAAGAAAAAAAUGCAUUGUGGUAAAAUACAUAAACAUAAAAUGUACCAUCUUAACCAUUUUAAGUAUGCAAUUCAGAGGUAUUAAAUAUGUCAUGAUGGCUGCACAUCAUGAAUAUAUUCAACAUGUAAAAGGUUUAAUAUGUAAAAGGAUGUAAAAGGUUUCAUCUCCAGAACCUUUUAGUCUUCCCAAACUGAAGCUCGCCACCAUUAAACAUUCACUUCCCCCUCUCCCGUCCCCACCCCGGCACCCAACAUUCCACUUUCUGUCUCUGGGAAUGUGACCUGUGACUGCUCCAGGGACCUCUUACGUGGAAUUACACAGUAUUUGCCCUUUUGUGUAGGCUUAUUUUAGUCAGCGCAGUGUCCUCAAGGUUCAUCCGUGCUGUGGUGAGUCUCGGAAUCUCCCUCCUUUUUAAGGCUGAAUAACAUCCCAUCGUAUGAAUGGGCCACGUUUUCUCAUCCACUCGUCCCUUAACGGAGGCUUGGGUUGCUUUCAUGUUUUAGCUGUUGUGAAUAGUGCUGCUAUGAACACGGUGUACAAACGUGUCUUUGAGACCUGUGGGGUGGUUUAUGGUAAAGAAUUGCGUCUCCUUUUCUGCAGCUGUAAACAGAGGGAAUUGUUUUCACUACUUACUUUGUCAAGAUUUAUUUCACCAGAAAUUGGGAGAGCUGGCAGGUUUUUUUUUUUCAAAGGGAUACUGUCUUGCUCUGUAGCCCAGGCUGGACAUGAACUCCUGGGCUGCAGUGAUCCUCCUGCCUCAGCUCCCGAGCGGCUGGGACCACAGGCACACACCACACGCCCAGCUAACUGGCAGGUUUUAAGGCCAGGUGUACGAAUUCCAUUAAUUAAUUCUAAGAGGGAAAAAAGACCAGAGUGGGAAGUUCAAAGUUGACAGAACAUAAAAAAGCCAGAAAUAUGUUAUUGACCCAUGGAAGAUUGACACAUGGAAGAUGGACCCAUGGAAGACUGACACAUGGUAGAUGAUUGACACAUGGAAGAUGAUUGACCCAUGGAAGACUGACACAUGGUAGAUGAUUGACACAUGGAAGAUGAUUGACCCAUGGAAGACUGACACAUGGUAGAUGAUUGACACAUGGAAGAUGGUUGACCCAUGGAAGACUGACACAUGGAAGACUGACACAAGGAAGAUGAUUGACCCAUGGAAGACUGACACAAGGAAGAUGAUUGACCCAUGGAAGACUGACACAUGGAAGACUGACACAAGGAAGAUGAUUGACACAUGGAAGAUGAUUGACACGUGGAAGAUGGGAUGUGCCCUGUUUUGCAGGUGCUGAGUAUCAAUGUCAUCCUUGCAGCUGAGAACCCGGCUCCCAUGCUGAUGGAAAAAAUUAAAAUUAAAGCUUCACUGAUCAUCCUAA